UACGAAGGGGGCUAGCGUUGCUCGGAAUGACUGGGCGUAAAGGGCGCGUAGGCGGUUCGUACAGUCAGACGUGAAAUUCCCGGGCUCAACCUGGGGGCUGCGUUUGAUACGUACGGGCUUGAGUUCGGAAGAGGGUCGUGGAAUUCCCAGUGUAGAGGUGAAAUUCGUAGAUAUUGGGAAGAACACCGGUGGCGAAGGCGGCGACCCUGGUCCGAUACUGACGCUGAGGCGCGAAAGCGUGGGGAGCAAACAGG
RNAcentral lists this ribosomal RNA (254 nucleotides) under uncultured bacterium. RNAcentral describes it as "partial 16S ribosomal RNA". It matches the Rfam family "Bacterial small subunit ribosomal RNA", at positions 524 to 776 of the family's 1533-position model. The record is from RNAcentral.